RNAcentral lists this ribosomal RNA (498 nucleotides) under uncultured bacterium. Its description in RNAcentral is "partial 16S ribosomal RNA". It matches the Rfam family "Bacterial small subunit ribosomal RNA", at positions 28 to 508 of the family's 1533-position model. The record is from RNAcentral.
GAUGAACGCUGGCGGCGUGCCUAAUACAUGCAAGUCGAGCGAACAGACGAGGAGCUUGCUCCUCUGACGUUAGCGGCAGACGGGUGAGUAACACGUGGAUAACCUACCUAUAAGACUGGGAUAACUUCGGGAAACCGGAGCUAAUACCGGAUAAUAUAUUGAACCGCAUGGUUCAAUAGUGAAAGACGGUUUUGCUGUCACUUAUAGAUGGAUCCGCGCCGCAUUAGCUAGUUGGUAAGGUAACGGCUUACCAAGGCAACGAUGCGUAGCCGACCUGAGAGGGUGAUCGGCCACACUGGAACUGAGACACGGUCCAGACUCCUACGGGAGGCAGCAGUAGGGAAUCUUCCGCAAUGGGCGAAAGCCUGACGGAGCAACGCCGCGUGAGUGAUGAAGGUCUUCGGAUCGUAAAACUCUGUUAUUAGGGAAGAACAAAUGUGUAAGUAACGAUGCACGUCUUGACGGUACCUAAUCAGAAAGCCACGGCUAACUACGUGC